Molecule: ribosomal RNA, 464 nt
Filed under: uncultured bacterium
Lineage: Bacteria
Description: partial 16S ribosomal RNA
Rfam family: Bacterial small subunit ribosomal RNA
Source: RNAcentral
CCUACGGGAGGCAGCAGUAGGGAAUUUUCGUCAAUGGGCGCAAGCCUGAACGAGCAAUGCCGCGUGAACGAGGAAGGUCUUCGGAUCGUAAAGUUCUGUUGAAGGGGAAAAAGAGCGGAGAGAGGAAAUGCUUUCUGAUUGAUAUUACCCUUCGAGGAAGUCACGGCUAACUACGUGCCAGCAGCCGCGGUAAUACGUAGGUGGCGAGCGUUAUCCGGAAUGAUGGGGCGUAAAGGGUGCGUAGGCGGCCUGCUAAGUCUGGAGUGAAAGGUACCGGCUCAACCGGUACAGGCUCUGGAAACUGGCGGGCUAGAGAGCAGGAGAGGGCGGUGGAACUCCAGGUGUAGCGGUAAAAUGCGUAGAUAUAUGGAAGAACACCAGUGGCGAAGGCGGCCGCCUGGCCUGUUACUGACGCUGGGGCACGAAAGCGUGGGGAGCAAAUAGGAUUAGAUACCCUAGUAGUC